CCUACGGGGGGCUGCAGUGGGGGAUAUUGCACAAUGGGGGGAACCCUGAUGCAGCGACGCCGCGUGGGUGAAGAAGCGCCUCGGCGCGUAAAGCCCUGUCAGCAGGGAAGAAAAUGACGGUACCUGAAGAAGAAGCCCCGGCUAACUACGUGCCAGCAGCCGCGGGAAUACGUAGGGGGCAAGCGUUAUCCGGAUUUACUGGGUGUAAAGGGGGCGCAGACGGCGAUGCAAGCCAGGAGUGAAAGCCCGGGGCCCAACCCCGGGACUGCUCUUGGAACUGCGUGGCUGGAGUGCAGGAGGGGCAGGCGGAAUUCCUGGUGUAGCGGUGAAAUGCGUAGAUAUCAGGAGGAACACCGGUGGCGAAGGCGGCCUGCUGGACUGCAACUGACGUUGAGGCCCGAAAGCGUGGGGAGCAAACAGGAUUAGAUACCCCGGUAGUC
RNAcentral lists this ribosomal RNA (440 nucleotides) under uncultured bacterium. RNAcentral describes it as "partial 16S ribosomal RNA". It matches the Rfam family "Bacterial small subunit ribosomal RNA", at positions 338 to 795 of the family's 1533-position model. The record is from RNAcentral.